GCGUGAGUGAUGAAGGCCUUAGGGUUGUAAAGCUCUUUUGUCCGGGAAGAUAAUGACGGUACCGGAAGAAUAAGCCCCGGCUAACCUCGUGCCAGCAGCCGCGGUAAUACGAGGGGGGCUAGCGUUGUUCGGAAUCACUGGGCGUAAAGCGCACGUAGGCGGCUUGUUAAGUCAGGGGUGAAAUGCCAAGGCUCAACCUUGGAACUGCCUUUGAUACUGGCAAGCUAGAGUGUGGAAGAGGUUGGUGGAACUCCGAGUGUAGAGGUGAAAUUCGU
RNAcentral lists this ribosomal RNA (275 nucleotides) under uncultured bacterium. Its description in RNAcentral is "partial 16S ribosomal RNA". It matches the Rfam family "Bacterial small subunit ribosomal RNA", at positions 399 to 691 of the family's 1533-position model. The record is from RNAcentral.